GGUGUCGAGAGACUUAAUAGAGAAGCUGGAGGAAAAGCCAGCGCGGUCCCGCCACUGUAGCAGCGAGCAAAUCCGCAUUUUUGUCACUGGGGGCAGCCUUGGGAAGGCGCGGAGGAGCGAUGAACUGGAGCCAGGAGAACUGCCUGUUUGA
RNAcentral lists this non-coding RNA (151 nucleotides) under bovine gut metagenome. The record is from RNAcentral.